UACGUAGGGGGCAAGCGUUGUCCGGAUUUAUUGGGCGUAAAGAGCGUGUAGGCGGCCAGGUAGGUCCGCUGUGAAAACUCGAGGCUCAACCUCGAGAUGUCGGCGGAAACCAUCUGGCUAGAGUCCGGAAGAGGAGAGUGGAAUUCCUGGUGUAGCGGUGAAAUGCGCAGAUAUCAGGAAGAACACCCGUGGCGAAGGCGGCUCUCUGGGACGGUACUGACGCUGAGACGCGAAGGCGUGGGGAGCGAACAGG
This 253-nucleotide ribosomal RNA is filed under the name uncultured bacterium. RNAcentral's name for it is "partial 16S ribosomal RNA". It matches the Rfam family "Bacterial small subunit ribosomal RNA", at positions 524 to 776 of the family's 1533-position model. The record is from RNAcentral.